UCUCUCUCUCUCUCUCUCUCUCUCUCUCUCUCUCUCUCUCUCUCUCUCUCUCUCUCUCUCUGUCUCUCGCCGUGUGGCUCACAUAACGACAAAAACACUUUUUAUUUUGAAUGAAAUGUUUUGGGUAAGUUUCUGCAUUCUGCAGACAUGCAAUAGAGUUCUGAUGUUCCAGCAAACAGUUGUGACUAUUGAACGUACAGUUUAGAGGAUGUUAAGACUGUUUUGUGCCAACGCGAUUGAGAACAAGUGUAAUUAUCAUUUUAUACACAGUAUAUUUUAAAAAGCUGAUUACUUUGUAAUUUGACUGAAUUAUACAUAAAUGUGUGACAGUGCAGUGACAAAAGAAAAUCUUGUUCAGAUUAGACAACAAUAUGAGGGUGGGGAAAUUAUUUUUGACUGAACUAAUUGUUUGAAAUUGUUUUUAUUUGAACACACAUUGUAAAGAAAUCUUGGAAUAAUAGUUCUAAAUGUUUUUGUUUUACCUUUUUAUAGAUGGGUAGCAAAAUGCCUCCAGCACCAGAAGAUUUGCCAUUACAUUCAAGAAACCACCUUCCUCCUACAAUUUCAUCUGGAACCUCAGCAAAUCCAAAAGAUGUUCAUGCUUUAAUACACAGGGUAAAGGGUGUAGAAGAUCUUUUGGCUGUGUUCAUGGAUAGCAGCAUAAUUCAAUCUACUCUGAAGAUGGAAUUUGUAAAUGAGAAUGCUGUAGAUGAUGCAGGAGUGUACAGAGAAGUUUGCACUGCAUUCUGGGAUCAGUUCCUUGAACAAUGUGAAGGGGAAGAUGAGCGUGUUCCUAGACUGAGACCAGACUUCUGUGAAGCUGAAUGGGAGGCAGUAGGAAGGAUCUGGGUAAAAGGAUUACUUGACCUUGGUGUUCUGCCACUGAGGCUUUCCAGUGCUUUCAUUUUAGCAUGCAUGCAUGGAAUUGACUCAGUCAGUGAUGAUGUCCUGAUGUCAUCGUUCCACAACUACCUCUCUCUGACUGAACGAUCUGCCAUUGCAAAGGCUCAUCAUCGCCCACUGGAGGAAUGUGAUGAAGAGGAUUUGCUUUACCUCUUGAGAAGAAAGGGCUCUCAUUGCAUCCCUCCAAAAAACACCAUGGAAGUUGUCAUCCAAACGAUGGCUCAUAAAGUAAUUCUUCAAGAUCCCAAAUAUAUAAUAGAAUAUAUAUUCCUUGCGCAGAAACCCCCACCAGUACUCCAUCCUUCGGUUGGCCGUACUUGCAUCAUCCAAAUAGCUGUCAAGAGUUUCAUCUGCAUGAUUGAUGUAAAGGAAACGCUGAUCCCCCCUAACAACUCUUGGGCAUCCUCCCAAACGCUCCACCGCUUCAAUAUAGUAAAUGCCUAUUAGCUUUGGAUCGCUACUAGUUGUGUAUGCAUUAAGCCAGAUAAUCUUCCUCGAAAAGCCAUCAAUGCAACCAUUAAUACAAAUGCCAUAUGGUUUUAACUUAUCGUAUGAGUCCAAAUGCCAAAUCAUGUUGGGUCCCUUAGAAAAGUAGUUGUGCCGUCUGAGACGUCUGGCUCUCCUCACUGUAACUCCUGUAGGGUCCAGUUCCUUCAGCACCAAGCGCACAUCCUCUUGUCUCACACACAGACCCUUCUCUCUGCAUCUGGCGUACAUCUAUCGGUACCCAUGAGGUUGCCUAGAGGACUGCAGCUGACUACGGAUGCAUGAAGGAAAAAUCGGAAGUAAACAAACACUCUCGUGGCCGCGAGUACAGGGCGUUGCACAGCUCAGUGAAGCACUCUUCCUCACCAUGUUAUACAUCUACCUCAACUACGAGCUCCAGCAGCCAAAUUCCUGAAGCCCCAACCAAAGAGCGGCCUGAGUGGAGGAAGAGCCAGAGUAAAGAGUCUAAACGUCCAGCAUCCUGCUACUGCCACGCUGCCAUCUUGGAUUACUCAGUGACCGAGAGAAGAUUUGAACAGGCCGACGUUGGCAGCCGAGAGAGAAAGGAGUUAUUGAAGACGGGGCACAGGAAGUCAAAUGAAGAGCGUAUCUCGGAAUGGAAACCCCAAAAAAUCUAGUCAUAUAUUUAUUAAUUAGAAAACUUGGUUCAGGCUCUGGGGUUCCCGACGCUGCUGGUUCCCUGGGUGGUUCUACAGGAGCUGGACUCGUUAAAAAGCAGGAAACUGUCAAAGGCCAGCUGUGGACUACAUCUACACCUUCCUGAAGAACCAGGAGCCGCGUCUCUGGAGCCAGUCCAUGCAGCAAGUGUCUCACGCUGACUGCAGGCUGAACGUGGAGGAUAAUGACGAUCUGGUGCUGCAGUGCUGUCUCCAGUACAAGACGUUGUAUCCAGGGGGCACUAUCAUGCUGUGCACG
This is a long non-coding RNA of Ictalurus punctatus (channel catfish), 2325 nucleotides long. RefSeq lists it as uncharacterized. The record is from RefSeq and is a predicted model, not a curated record. NCBI's taxonomy places the organism in Eukaryota, Metazoa, Chordata, Actinopteri, Siluriformes, Ictaluridae. The transcript has 3 exons.